RNAcentral lists this ribosomal RNA (632 nucleotides) under uncultured organism. RNAcentral describes it as "bacterial SSU rRNA". It matches the Rfam family "Bacterial small subunit ribosomal RNA", at positions 767 to 1402 of the family's 1533-position model. The record is from RNAcentral.
AGCGAACAGGAUUAGAUACCCUGGUAGUCCACGCCGUAAACGAUGAUCACUCGCUGUUGGCAAUAUAGAGUCAGCGGCUGAGCGAAAGCAUUAAGUGAUCCACCUGGGGAGUACGUCGGCAACGAUGAAACUCAAAGGAAUUGACGGGGGCCCGCACAAGCGGUGGAACAUGUGGUUUAAUUCGAUGAUACGCGAGGAACCUUACCUGGGCUUAAAUGUAGCCGGACGAUUCCGGAAACGGGAUUUCCUUAACGGCUGGUUACAAGGUGCUGCAUGGCUGUCGUCAGCUCGUGCCGUGAGGUGUCGGGUUAAGUCCCAUAACGAGCGCAACCCUUUAUUCUUAGUUGCCAGCGGGUAGAGCCGGGGACUCUAAGGAGACUGCCACCGUAAGGUGUGAGGAAGGUGGGGAUGACGUCAAGUCAGCACGGCCCUUACGUCCAGGGCUACACACGUGUUACAAUGGCCGGUACAGAAGGCAGCAAACUUGAGAGAGGGCGCGAAUCCAUGAAAGCCGGUCUCAGUUCGGAUUGGAGUCUGCAACCCGACUUCAUGAAGUUGGAAUCGCUAGUAAUCGCGCAUCAGCAAUGGCGCGGUGAAUACGUUCCCGGGCGUUGACACACCGCCCGUCAAGC